This is a long non-coding RNA of Ipomoea triloba (trilobed morning glory), 769 nucleotides long. RefSeq lists it as uncharacterized. NCBI's taxonomy places the organism in Eukaryota, Viridiplantae, Streptophyta, Magnoliopsida, Solanales, Convolvulaceae. The record is from RefSeq and is a predicted model, not a curated record. The transcript has 2 exons.
CCUAGAUCUACAGCAACCUCUCAUCUCUCUCCCUCUUUUAUCGAUCUCUCUCUACAUAGCCCCCCCUCUUUCUCUCUCUCUCUCUCUCUCUCUGGUGAAGGUAGUGUCUGGUCUUGGCUAGCAGUGGCAGCGACGGGCGUGCUCUAUUCCGACCACCUCUGUAGAUCCGGCGUACUCUAUCAGCGGCGACGCAGUCCAGCAAAGCCGCAGCUUACACUCUGCCAGCACUGCCCAACGCCAACGUCUUCUUCCUUGCAUCGACCGCCGACGUCUUCUUCUUCUUUGCGCUAAUGCCGGCUCGCCUCGUCGACCACUUCUCCGCGGACGACAGCACAGCGCCGACAACCCACUACCGACCUUCCGGCUGCUCGCAUCGACGACAACUGGUCCGCUCCGCUGCUCUGUCGUCCGCUCCAGUGACCUACUGCUGCCUGAGUUCUGCAACCAGUGUUCAUUGCAUGGUAUGAGACCUCUCCCACACUAGUGCUCCCUCUUGGUUCAUUUACAAAUGGGAAAUAGUCACCCUGCUCCUAAGGAAAAGGUUUAGCAUAUAGUUGUACAAACAAAUACAAAUACUACAGUUACUCUAGAAGCUUAGUUCUUUUUACAAUGCUUUGAGGUCUAAUGGACAGAUACUGCAUUAGUUUUAGCUGAAGCUCUAGAUUAUGUAAUCCAGUAGAUUAUCUAUUAAUGUAUUUGAUACCAUUUCUAAUGAUGUUACACUUUACAAUGCUAUAACUUUACAAUGCUAUACCUUUGUUAUUGUUAU